This is a long non-coding RNA of Bos taurus (domestic cattle), 491 nucleotides long. The record is from Ensembl. NCBI's taxonomy places the organism in Eukaryota, Metazoa, Chordata, Mammalia, Artiodactyla, Bovidae.
AGCUCACCCAGAGAGACUGAGGCACUGGCAAGGGAGCCAAGUCCAAACAGGCCAAGUCUGGGCCCAUAAGGAUAACAAUCCAGAGGGGCUGCAGACCUGUGGGGGACUGAGAAUCUGCUGCUGCUGCUAAGUCGCUUCAGUCGUGUCCGACUCUGUGUGACCCCAUAGACGGCAGCCCACCAGGCUCCCCCGUCCCUGGGAUUCUCCAGGCAAGAACACUGGGAGAAAACUGAAGCACAGAGCGGUUAAGUGACUGGUCUAAAGUCAUACAGCUACCAAGUGGCAGAACUGAUAUUGAAACUCAGGCUCUCUGCUCUCCUGCUCUUUUCCAUCUUUCUCCUUAGCCCCUAGUUUUAGAAGUUGAAGCAAGCUGGGGGAGGCUGAUUUAAGAAUAAGCCCCCUCCCACCACCAAUCUCUGUCCCCCCUGACCCCAGCAGGCCUAAGGUGGGUGCCUAGGCACAGAAAGGAUACAUUAUGUCAGCAGCUACAC